CGGGAAGCCCAUCCUAAGAUUAGGUUUCGUUUAGAUCCCAUAUAGAAGAUGUGGUUGAUAGGCUCUAGGUGGAAGCGUAGUAAUACGUGCAGCCGAGGAGUACUAAUAGAUCGACGACUUGAUUUUUA
Molecule: ribosomal RNA, 128 nt
Filed under: candidate division CPR2 bacterium
Lineage: Bacteria; candidate division CPR2
Description: partial 23S ribosomal RNA
Rfam family: Bacterial large subunit ribosomal RNA
Source: RNAcentral